RNAcentral lists this ribosomal RNA (357 nucleotides) under uncultured Chloroflexales bacterium. RNAcentral describes it as "bacterial SSU rRNA". It matches the Rfam family "Bacterial small subunit ribosomal RNA", at positions 921 to 1294 of the family's 1533-position model. Lineage: Bacteria; Bacillati; Chloroflexota; Chloroflexia; Chloroflexales. The record is from RNAcentral.
CCGCACAAGCAGCGGAGCGUGUGGUUUAAUUCGACGCAACGCGAAGAACCUUACCCAGAUUUGACAUGUGCCUGCAAGCGCACGGAAACGUGUGACCUACGAGGGUGGCACACAGGUGCUGCAUGGCUGUCGUCAGCUCGUGUCGUGAGAUGUUGGGUUAAGUCCCGCAACGAGCGCAACCCUCGCCGGUAGUUACACGUGUCUACCGGGACAGCUUCCCCUUGGGAAGAGGAAGGCGGGGAUGACGUCAAGUCCGCAUGGCCCUUACGUCUGGGGCGACACACACUGCUACAAUGGGCACGACAAUGCGUUGCCACGGCGCAAGCCGGCGCUAAUCGCCAAACGUGCUCGCAGUGC